AGAAGGUGCUUGCACUUUGCUGACGAGUGGCGGACGGGUGAGUAACGCGUAGGAAUCUACCUAUCUGUGGGGGAUACCAGUUGGAAACGACUGUUAAUACCGCACAAUACCUGAGGGUUAAAGGUGGCAACUUGUUGCUGCCGCGGAUGGAUGAGCCUGCGUUAGAUUAGCUUGUUGGUGGGUAAAGGCCUACCAAGGCUACGAUCUAUAGCUGAUUUGAGAGGAUGAUCAGCCACAUUGGAACUGAGACACGGUCCAAACUCC
This 264-nucleotide ribosomal RNA is filed under the name uncultured bacterium. RNAcentral's name for it is "partial 16S ribosomal RNA". It matches the Rfam family "Bacterial small subunit ribosomal RNA", at positions 71 to 339 of the family's 1533-position model. The record is from RNAcentral.